GAAAUGCGAUAAGUAAUGUGAAUUGCAGAAUUCAGUGAAUCAUCGAAUCUUUGAACGCACAUUGCGCCCUCUGGUAUUCCGGGGGGCAUGCCUGUUCGAGCGUCAUUAUAACCCUCAAGCUCUGCUUGGUAUUGGGCAUCACCGUUUGGUGCGCCUCAAAAUCAGUGGCGGCGUUGUCUGACUUCAAGCGUAGUAAAUCUCUCGCUCUGGAGUUCAGGUCUACACUGCUAUAAACCCCAAUUUUAAAAAGGUUGACCUCGGAUCAGGUAGGGAUACCCGCUGAACUUAA
RNAcentral lists this unclassified non-coding RNA (289 nucleotides) under uncultured Leotiomycetes. RNAcentral's name for it is "sequence contains ITS1". The stretch from base 1 to 105 matches the Rfam family "5.8S ribosomal RNA", at positions 50 to 154 of the family's 154-position model. The record is from RNAcentral. Lineage: Eukaryota; Fungi; Ascomycota; Leotiomycetes.